UAAAUUGCCCUGCAGGAAGGAGAUAUGCGAUGAGAGCAAACAGGACACUUGCACACAGCAGACAGGAAACAGAAAAAUAUCCAUGCCAGCUAUUGGUAGCUUACUGAACACUUAAUGACUGAUUGUGAUAUUGAAUAUGUAAAUUAAGGCAGACAUAUUUAGGGUCAGGAGAGAGGAAUGACAAUGGGAUGAUUAAAAGCCCCAUGCUAUGGUUGGGAAGGAAAGAUAUUCUGCUCCCUAUUACAGGUAUGGCUGAGAGAACAUGUAUAAGGAGCCCAAAUGAAGAAAGAAUUAUGCUGUGGUUUUUGAAGAGGAAUGAGGCAUGAUAUGAAUAUAACGAGAAAAAAUAAAGAGGUUUUAAACAGACUCAGAGAGGAAAUGACUGUACAAGCCACUAGAUCUGUCUGAAACCAGAGAUGUGGACUCCAAGCUGACGGUGAAAGUCUGACUGAAAACAGAUUUAAUCUUGAUGGAUGGCUGUUUGUGGAACUUCUUGGCAAGUGAGGAGAGAGACUCCAGUCUGGAGAGCCCACUCAGUGAGGGAGGCAGCAGGCAAGAGGACAAGAGCCCAUGAAUAAGUUCCUCCAGAGACACCUGCACUGUAGAUAACAGACAGCUCUCAGCAGUAUCAAAAAGGAUAUUUUGAGGGGGCUGGGGGGCUGUGCAGUGCUUGGAGCAGCUCAGAAUCGGUGUGUUUUCUGAAAAUAGUCCUAGAAAUGGUGAUACCAUGGACAAGGAGAGAUUGGAUUAUCAACUUUCAUUUGCACUUGUGAAUGAUAUUCUUUUUACGUUGAAAAGUUAACUCUUAUUUGUGCUGUAACAAAAUGUAGCACUGUGGCUUUUUAAUUUUUUAAUUAUUAUUAUUGAUUUAUUUUGUUGGUUCCUUCCUUCUUUCCUUCUUUCUUUCUUUGGCUGGCUUGCUUGCUUGCUUGCUUGCUUGAUGAAAAAUCCUUAAAUACGUUUUUGGGGGCUCUUUUUAAGGAAAUGAUCUAAGUGGAUAGACCUCAAAAUUCCAACUAACUUGGAGGUCCUUCACAUACUCAUCUUUGCAUACAACAAAUGACUGCUUUAGCUGUCAUUACUGACUAUGUUUUAUACUUGACACAUGGAUCUGAUUCAUAGUUUUAACUAAUAAGUGAAUACUAGAAAAAUGACAAGCAAUGUUAUGAUUUCUAGUCUCCUCCCUUUUUGAGGAAAUGUUUGCUCUGAGCAUCUCCUUAACAGAGACAACUCACAGUGCAUUCUGUGAAUGAACGCACAGAGGCCUCUUAUUUUCUUCUUUGACUUUCCGUGUAUCAAAGAAAGGAAGUUUUGGACAGGAUAAUGAUAAUGAUGAGACACAGCUGUGCUUCUUGUAGACCAAGAGUCAAAAAACAAAUCCCUGUAUGUAAAACUCAAAAAGGUUAGUGGGAAAAAUCAAUUAACUAAGUUCAUAUUUAUAAACAGAAAUGUUCCAUGGAGCAAAACUGACUGUGGACCAUCUGCUUGUAAAUUUUGGACAAAAUUCAGUAUUGCCUAGCGUUCCUAAACCUAGGCCCUCUGAGAGUUCACUUACAAAAGCAAAUAAAAUCACUUUUCAGUGUACAACAUUCUCUCCUUUCUAAGUUAUUUGUAGGUGGAAAUAUUUCCAUGAAGAUUUCUCCCCAUGUGUCAAAAUGAGCUCCAGUGUCAUCCAUAAUAAAGUUCAUGAUGAAACCAUUUUUGGCAUGCUGUAUGUAUAUUACUUCUG
Molecule: long non-coding RNA, 1729 nt
Organism: Numida meleagris (helmeted guineafowl)
Lineage: Eukaryota; Metazoa; Chordata; Aves; Galliformes; Numididae
Exons: 4
Source: RefSeq, a predicted model, not a curated record